GGUGGAAUAGCUCAGUGGUAGAGCACAUGCUUAGCAUACACGAGGUCCUGGGUUCAAUCCUCAGUAUCUCCA
RNAcentral lists this transfer RNA (72 nucleotides) under Camelus bactrianus (Bactrian camel). It matches the Rfam family "tRNA". From Rfam's summary of the family: Transfer RNA (tRNA) molecules are approximately 80 nucleotides in length. Their secondary structure includes four short double-helical elements and three loops (D, anti-codon, and T loops). The record is from Rfam by way of RNAcentral. Lineage: Eukaryota; Metazoa; Chordata; Mammalia; Artiodactyla; Camelidae. RNAcentral also lists the same sequence under 2 other names.